AGCCAUUCCCUGUCAUUUCCGUGCAAUAUCACGAAAUUCACUUUUCUAAUGCAAUCAAAUAAAUUCUCAUAAUAUCACUGCUAGUUAAACAGUAGAAACACCAGAUAAAAAUAAGGCAGGGUAUUACCCAUAACAAACUCAAAAUUUAAAUUACAAAUUUGCGAUAGCUUAAACACAUAGAAAGCAUAUAUUUGGAUACUCCCAAUAGUAUUCAUCUACUGAAUUGGACAAUGGCAAAGGUAUUGUUGCAGCAUGUGGAAGUUCAUCACUCUUUGUAGGCGCUUUCUCAUCUUAUGCAGCUUUAGAUUCAUGCUAGAGAUCAUUGAGUAAACCAUAUCUAUUUGAGAUAGAUUACUAAUUUUUUUGCUUGAAGUGGUACAAAGAUAGAUUCCUUUUUAUAUAAUUUAAAAGAAUAGAAUAAAAAGUUUUUUCCUGCACUGAAGAUCUUCUGGUAGAAGGAAAUUCAUUUGAUGAAAAAAUAACUUAUUUCUAUGUGAAGCUUCAGAUAUAUAAGGGAAUUCAUAUAGCAAUUGGAUGGCGAAAUCUUAAACUGAAUAGAUUCUCGUUCUUACAAAUUAAUCUGUCAUGAUAAGUUGAAUCAUGAUCUUCCUUCACUAUCUUACUAACACUAUGUUGAUACCACAAAAACUCCACAACAAAACAAAAUGCAACUCUUGCAUUUGUUCUAUUUGUACGAUAUAAACCUUAAGUUUUCGAACUGCUAAUCGGACCAAUAUAAUUAAAGUAACCCGAAAGCAUAUCAAAAUUCCUAAACACUCCCGACUUUAUAUGAUGUCUCGGGGAGGAUAAAACUUCUAUAAAUGGGGUAGGGCUCUAAUUUGGAUAUGUUUAAGUGUUGACUAGGUUCUUACGGAUUACACAAGGUAAAUGAAAAGUAUAAGAUCUAGUUUAAGAGUGGUAAACUGAAAAGGGACCAAAAAAUAGUCUACCCUUAAAACAUAAACAAAACAAAAAAUUGUUAAGUGAACUUAUUUCAACUGCUAAGAUUAUUGAGUCUGUCAUUGACACUUCUUAGUCUAGAAAUAAAUUUUUAUCAGAGUCUGCUACUAAUAGCGCUGCCUUGUAUACUUAUAAAGGCGACAGAGCAAUACAUCAAUAUGUCCAAGAAAGAAGUGGAGGUUGCCUUGUUUAUCUUAUGCGAUUAUCCAACUUUAGGUUAUUGGAGGUUGUAUUCAAGCAUAUUAACAAUAGUUGGUAUCUGUUAUUGCAUUGUAAUUUCAAGCUCUUACUUAUCGAAAAAACUUGUCUAAUUAAAUUAAUUACCAACUGAAAUGAGGCAGAAGCCUAGGCAAAUGUACACAUAAUCACGAUUAGACAUAGUGUUAUAGGUUAUAUUGAGAAUAAAAAGUGGUAUUAUAUAACCACUUUGAAGAAUGAAGAUGAGUCUCUUAUGACAUUAAAAGGACGAUGAAAUACCACUUGAAUCAUUGACAAUAGAAUAUUCAAAGAGAGGACGUUCUAGAUGCCUCACAUUGUAUUAAUUUCAUCCCAGGAUUGUGAUCUUAAUAAUGCUUGAGGUGAAAGAGCUAUUAUGGCUCACAAAUUUUUCAUAAAGAAGUUUUGUUUAUUGGUUAUUUAAAUCUAACACCAUAUACCAGAUAGAGAUAAUGAAAAGCACAGGAUUUCUCAUUCAAAGCUUACACGACAAAGCAAACAUAAUUGACAUAACUUAUAUCAUGGUAUUACUAAUGCGAAGAGCAUAAAUUCUUUAACAGCCACAAAGAACACUUCAUUCAUUCCAAUGACACAUACAAAAUAAUAGUUAUUGUCAAUUACGUAUAAAGUAAUAGUUUAUGCAUUGACUGUGCUAAGUAAAAUAGCAUAAACUUACCUUUUUAGGUUGACGGUGCUUGUAACUAUAAUUCAGAGUUCCUGAAAAUAAUGACAACAAAUAACUUUAUUUUGUCAAUAGUUUAUAUGUAAUCAUGAAAACAAAAUUGCAAUAACAUGUUCAGAUAAGAAGUUACAAAGCUAGGGGUAAUAAAUGGUCAAACUUAAUCAAUACAACUUAACAACUCAAAAAAUAUUGAAUGCAGCAAUAUUUAAUCUCUAUACGACAAAGCACAUACAGUCACCUUUUGUUUCGUUUUUACUAAUUUAUUGAACACUCUAAAAAAGUACACUACCCAGGAAUAUAAUUAUGUCACAUUGGUCCAUUUGAUCGACAAAUAAUGAAGAGAAAAUUAGAUAAUGAAUUGACGACAACAGCCAUUUCACUAAAAAGGUAUUCUCUGUUAUAUAUCUAAAGGCCUAAGCUCAGAGUUUCAAAAGAGGAACCCAUACAAAAUCUGGAAGAACAAAAGAAGCAGAUAUCAAAUUCCAAAGUUAAAUUUUUAUAGGUAAUCCUUGCACAGUAGCAGAAACACAAGUUUCCAAAACAUAUAAUACACCCGAAUAAGAAAGAAAAAAACUAAAAAAUAUGAGGAACCGCGAUAAUUUCAAGGAGCAGAAGAAGAACUAUACUGAAAAAUCUGCAAAUUAAUUUAAGUUGUUGUUUUGACAUAUUAUAUGCAUAGAUCAUGCAUCUAAAAUGUGCUAAAAUCGAGAAAAAAUUUUAGCUGAUGACAUAUUAAACAAAUUACCAACUUGAAAAUUCAUAUUAACUUCCAAGAACAAACCAGAAAUCGGGAAGAUCGAAGAGAACCGGAAGAAAAAAAGACAUCCGCCACUAAAACUGGAAAAAUAACAUCAGCCGUGAAUUUGGAAAAACUGAAGAGAAUUAGAAGAAGAUUUGGGUAAAAAAUUACUAAAAGAAAAGCUUACAUGUGAUGACUAUACCAGUUGAAAAGACGAAGAGAAGAUUGUUGGAAUAAGAGCACUCUUGCGU
RNAcentral lists this long non-coding RNA (2848 nucleotides) under Nicotiana tabacum (common tobacco). RNAcentral describes it as "long non-coding RNA (NTAB_LNC008041)". The record is from RNAcentral. Lineage: Eukaryota; Viridiplantae; Streptophyta; Magnoliopsida; Solanales; Solanaceae.